Molecule: ribosomal RNA, 833 nt
Filed under: Brevibacterium sp.
Lineage: Bacteria; Bacillati; Actinomycetota; Actinomycetes; Micrococcales; Brevibacteriaceae
Description: bacterial SSU rRNA
Rfam family: Bacterial small subunit ribosomal RNA
Source: RNAcentral
CUGGUGCUUGCACCGGGUGGAUGAGUGGCGAACGGGUGAGUAACACGUGAGUAACCUGCCCCUGACUUCGGGAUAAGCCCGGGAAACUGGGUCUAAUACCGGAUACGACUGCCGGACGCAUGUCUGGUGGUGGAAAGUUUUUUCGGUUGGGGAUGGGCUCGCGGCCUAUCAGUUUGUUGGUGAGGUAAUGGCUCACCAAGACGACGACGGGUAGCCGGCCUGAGAGGGCGACCGGCCACACUGGGACUGAGACACGGCCCAGACUCCUACGGGAGGCAGCAGUGGGGAAUAUUGCACAAUGGGGGAAACCCUGAUGCAGCGACGCAGCGUGCGGGAUGACGGCCUUCGGGUUGUAAACCGCUUUCAGCAGGGAAGAAGCGCAAGUGACGGUACCUGCAGAAGAAGUACCGGCUAACUACGUGCCAGCAGCCGCGGUAAUACGUAGGGUACGAGCGUUGUCCGGAAUUAUUGGGCGUAAAGAGCUCGUAGGUGGUUGGUCACGUCUGCUGUGGAAACGCAACGCUUAACGUUGCGCGUGCAGUGGGUACGGGCUGACUAGAGUGCAGUAGGGGAGUCUGGAAUUCCUGGUGUAGCGGUGAAAUGCGCAGAUAUCAGGAGGAACACCGGUGGCGAAGGCGGGACUCUGGGCUGUAACUGACACUGAGGAGCGAAAGCAUGGGGAGCGAACAGGAUUAGAUACCCUGGUAGUCCAUGCCGUAAACGUUGGGCACUAGGUGUGGGGGGCAUUCCACGUUCUCCGCGCCGUAGCUAACGCAUUAAGUGCCCCGCCUGGGGAGUACGGUCGCAAGGCUAAAACUCAAAGGAAUUGACGG